This 406-nucleotide ribosomal RNA is filed under the name uncultured bacterium. Its description in RNAcentral is "partial 16S ribosomal RNA". It matches the Rfam family "Bacterial small subunit ribosomal RNA", at positions 30 to 526 of the family's 1533-position model. The record is from RNAcentral.
AUUGAACGCUGGCGGCAGGCCUAACACAUGCAAGUCGAGCGAGCGGCGGACGGGUGAGUAAUGUAUGGGAAUCUGCCUGAUGGAGGGGGAUAACUACUGGAAACUGUGGCUAAUACCGCAUACUAUCGGAUGAACCCAUAUGGGAUUAGCUUGUGGGUGGGGUAAAGUCUCACCAAGGCGACGAUCCCUAGCUGGUCUGAGAGGAUGAGCAGCCACACUGGAACUGAGACACGGUCCAGACUCCAACGGGAGGCAGCAGUGGGGAAUAUUGCACAAUGGGCGCAAGCCUGAUGCCGCCAUGCCGCGUGUAUGAAGAAGGCCUUCGGGUUGUAAAGUACUUUCAGCGGGGAGGCGUUACCCGCAGAAGAAGCACCGGCUAACUCCGUGCCAGCAGCCGCGGUAAUAC